Molecule: transfer-messenger RNA, 362 nt
Filed under: Actinomycetota bacterium
Lineage: Bacteria; Bacillati; Actinomycetota
Description: Actinobacteria bacterium (freshwater metagenome) transfer-messenger RNA
Rfam family: transfer-messenger RNA
About the family: Bacterial tmRNA, also known as 10Sa RNA or SsrA, is named for its dual tRNA and mRNA-like properties.
Source: RNAcentral
GGGGGUGCAUGGCUUCGACUUCGUUGACGAAGCGGGUGAAGCGAGCCGACGUCGCCGGAUCGUCGUGAAAGAGCCGGCACACCAACAACUGCUGAGGAUAACGACCUCGCACUCGCGGCCUAACCGAUUCAUUCGGUGAGGUCGUGCGCUCGGAGCCGGAUGUGCUGCUGGUUCGUCCGGGCGUCAUCCACAGUGGCUCACCGACGGGCUUGGCCCCAGGAGCUCGCCGGGACACUUCACUGAGGUUGGGGUCGCCGUAGGCGCCGGUGGACGGCGGCGACCCGACAACUUCCCGCCGGAUGCGCUCGGAGAAGCCCCGUCGAGGCAACGAAACACGCGGGUUCGAAUCCCGCCACCUCCAA